ACUCAAAGGAAUUGACGGGGGCUCACACAAGCGGUGGAGGAUGUGGCUUAAUUCGAGGCUACGCGAAGAACCUUAUCCAGGCCUUGACAUGCACGGAUUAACCCGGUGAAAGCCGGGCCACGACUUCGGUUGGAACGUGCACAGGUGCUGCAUGGCUGUCGUCAGCUCGUGUCGUGAGAUGUCGGGUUAAGUCCCUUAACGAGCGAAACCCUUGUCUCUAGUUGCCAGCGGGUAAAGCCGGGGACUCUAGAGAGACUGCCGGUGUUAAACCGGAGGAAGGCGGGGAUGACGUCAAGUCCUCAUGGCCUUUAUGGCCUGGGCUGCACACGUCCUACAAUGGCGUCUACAAAGGGAAGCGAACUCGCGAGAGCAAGCAAAUCCCAAAAAGGGCGCCCCAGUUCGGAUUGCAGGCUGCAACUCGCCUGCAUGAAGCCGGAAUCGCUAGUAAUCGCCGGUCAGCAUACGGCGGUGAAUGUGUUCCUGAGCCUUGCACACACCGCCCGU
This 504-nucleotide ribosomal RNA is filed under the name uncultured bacterium. RNAcentral's name for it is "partial 16S ribosomal RNA". It matches the Rfam family "Bacterial small subunit ribosomal RNA", at positions 899 to 1397 of the family's 1533-position model. The record is from RNAcentral.